This 255-nucleotide ribosomal RNA is filed under the name uncultured bacterium. RNAcentral's name for it is "partial small subunit ribosomal RNA". It matches the Rfam family "Bacterial small subunit ribosomal RNA", at positions 32 to 285 of the family's 1533-position model. The record is from RNAcentral.
AGGACGAAACGCUGGCGGCGUGCUUAACACAUGCAAGUCGAGCGGAAAGGCCCUUCGGGGUACUCGAGCGGCGAACGGGUGAGUAACACGUGAGCAACCUGCCCUUAGCUUCGGGAUAGCUCCGGGAAACCGGAAUUAAUACCGAAUAUGACUUUGGCUGACAUCAGCAGAAGUGGAAAGUUUUUCGGCUAGGGAUGGACUCGCGGCCUAUCAGCUAGUUGGUGAGGUAACGGCCCACCAAGGCGACGACGGGUA